This is a long non-coding RNA of Hyla sarda, 1063 nucleotides long. RefSeq lists it as uncharacterized. NCBI's taxonomy places the organism in Eukaryota, Metazoa, Chordata, Amphibia, Anura, Hylidae. The transcript is spliced from 5 exons. The record is from RefSeq and is a predicted model, not a curated record.
CCUGGCUUUUCUGACAGGUUCUGUGUAGUCUUCACAAUGGCCCAGGUCAGAGAGGAAGUAAAAAAAAUUGAAAAAAAUUAACAACGAUCAGAGAAGACGUCACCUGCACAGAUUCAGUCUUCCGGAUGGAUUUAACUGUUCCUUGGAGUUAACGUAGAUGACAGGUAAAACUGGGGAAUCAGCGCCCGGGGCACGCAAUUGUCUGCUUGAGAUAACACAGGCAAAGAAGAGAAAGAAGAUUGGAAAGUGGCUGCUAAGGACAUUGCGGCAAAAAGUCAUUGGUUCUCAUGUUAUGUGCUGUGAAGCGGAAGGGUACUAGGGCCGCCAUUAGGCACAAAUCCUUCUAAGGACCUGCUGCUAAUGUUUUGGUAUCAGAUAUGACAGAUCCACACCGAUCACUAGAGAAAGCCACUAAGAAUGGUCUGCUGAGUACUUCUCCCUCGGGUUUGUUGCUCUACCCAUCUCAAUGCAGGAGAUGAGCUCCAUAGCCACAUGCUUCUCACAAGUGAGAAGUGAGCCCUAAAGCUGUCCCUAAAACUACUUUCCCUGCCUACAUGCCCAUCCACCCUAAAUGAGGGAUCGACAACUUGGAGCCGGUCCCUUCCUAGCGCUAUAGUGCAUGCACGUCGAAGUCAACAAAACAAACAGAACUGUACAUGUCGGGGACAAGUCAGAAACAUACUACUGAAGAAGGGGUACUGAAUGCUUGUUUUUUAUAGACCCUGAAACGCGUUUGGUUGUCAUCUUUUACUUGAACUCCAUUUACAUUGGGAAAUAUUGCCAUUGAUGCCAUUUGCAUUUUCUGAAGGAGUCGGAGGAGAGCCAAAGGACCGCACAGCCAAUAGAGUGAAUGAUGAAAAAUUGAAGCCUGCAUAAAGAAGAAAUUUUUUGGUCCAAGAACUAUAAGAAAAAUCAUCUUUAAACCCAUCCGAUCAGCUGAUCUGCAGUCAGAUGACCGUCCACGUCACACACCACCGGGAGCUCGCUGGAGAGACCGGCCACAACAUAAUGCAAUCCCAUCACCGCCUCCAGCUAGAGCAGAGCAACACUGGCAACCGGACUA